RNAcentral lists this ribosomal RNA (253 nucleotides) under uncultured bacterium. RNAcentral describes it as "partial 16S ribosomal RNA". It matches the Rfam family "Bacterial small subunit ribosomal RNA", at positions 524 to 776 of the family's 1533-position model. The record is from RNAcentral.
UACGAAGGGGGCUAGCGUUGUUCGGAUUUACUGGGCGUAAAGGGCACGCAGGCGGCCUGACAAGUUGGGGGUGAAAUCCCGGGGCUUAACCCCGGAACUGCCUUCAAAACUGUCAGGCUAGAGAUCGAGAGAGGUGAGUGGAAUUCCUAGUGUAGAGGUGAAAUUCGUAGAUAUUAGGAGGAACACCAGUGGCGAAGGCGGCUCACUGGCUCGAUACUGACGCUCAUGUGCGAAAGCGUGGGGAGCAAACAGG